This is a non-coding RNA of Pan troglodytes (chimpanzee), 117 nucleotides long. It matches the Rfam family "Metazoan signal recognition particle RNA". Rfam says of the family: The signal recognition particle (SRP) is a universally conserved ribonucleoprotein. It is involved in the co-translational targeting of proteins to membranes. The eukaryotic SRP consists of a 300-nucleotide 7S RNA and six proteins: SRPs 72, 68, 54, 19, 14, and 9. NCBI's taxonomy places the organism in Eukaryota, Metazoa, Chordata, Mammalia, Primates, Hominidae. The record is from Rfam.
GCCAGGCAUGGUGGCUCAUGCCUGUAAUCCCAGCACUUUGGGAGGCUGAGGCAGGUGGGUCACCUGAGGUCAGGAAUUCAAGAUCAGCCUGGCCAACAUGGUGAAAUCCUGUCUCUA